This 236-nucleotide ribosomal RNA is filed under the name uncultured bacterium. Its description in RNAcentral is "partial 16S ribosomal RNA". It matches the Rfam family "Bacterial small subunit ribosomal RNA", at positions 60 to 291 of the family's 1533-position model. The record is from RNAcentral.
CAGUCGAACGGCAGCACAGAGGAGCUUGCUCCUUGGGUGGCGAGUGGCGGACGGGUGAGGAAUACAUCGGAAUCUACUCUGUCGUGGGGGAUAACGUAGGGAAACUUACGCUAAUACCGCAUACGACCUACGGGUGAAAGCAGGGGAUCUUCGGACCUUGCGCGAUUGAAUGAGCCGAUGUCGGAUUAGCUAGUUGGCGGGGUAAAGGCCCACCAAGGCGACGAUCCGUAGCUGGU